This 245-nucleotide ribosomal RNA is filed under the name uncultured bacterium. Its description in RNAcentral is "partial 16S ribosomal RNA". It matches the Rfam family "Bacterial small subunit ribosomal RNA", at positions 524 to 768 of the family's 1533-position model. The record is from RNAcentral.
UACGUAGGAUGCAAGCGUUAUCCGGAUUUAUUGGGUUUAAAGGGUGCGUAGGCGGAUUGGUAAGUCAGUGGUGAAAUCCUACGGCUUAACUGUAGAACUGCCUCUGAUACUGCCACUCUUGAGUACAUUUGAUGUGGGCGGAAUGUGUUAUGUAGCGGUGAAAUGCUUAGAUAUGACACAGAACACCGAUUGCGAAGGCAGCUCACAAAGCUGUAACUGACGCUGAGGCACGAAAGCGUGGGGAG